CUUUAGUGUAUAUAAGGUGAACCCUUGAUCUCCACAACACGCUUCUACCAUCUCACUGCAGAAGGGAGCUAAGAGGCUAAUUUUUAGUAUUCAGUCACCAUCUUCUCAACACAUCAGUGUUCUCCACUGCUGCAAAAAUGAAAAAGCCAAUCUUGGUUGCUGUGAUCCUUCAGCUGGUGAUCACAAUAAUAGAGAUUAAUGGGUACCAAUUUGGAGAUAUAAUUGUGUUUCCCAGGAAAUGUCUCAAGAACACCGCAAAGCCCUUGUACAUGCACUAUGCCAUUUAUGUGGGCCCAAAGUCAGAAAGAGACAUUGGCCAAGGUGAUAAUGACAUAGUUCACCGCACAGGUGACUGGGAUAGGUCAAACUGCAGAUUUGACAAACUUGCAAAAGUUAGAGAUAAUCAUCAAGAGAAGAAGGACAAUUACCUCGAUGGCAUUAAAGGCUUCAAACCAGGAUCCCCGGACGAAAUUGCAAAGCGAAUUGAAAAAGCCUUGAAGAACUGUGAAAGAUAUGACCUCCUUA
Long non-coding RNA from Micropterus salmoides (largemouth bass), 525 nucleotides. RefSeq lists it as uncharacterized. NCBI's taxonomy places the organism in Eukaryota, Metazoa, Chordata, Actinopteri, Centrarchiformes, Centrarchidae. The record is from RefSeq and is a predicted model, not a curated record. The transcript has 5 exons.